Molecule: ribosomal RNA, 216 nt
Filed under: Glomeromycotina sp.
Lineage: Eukaryota; Fungi; Glomeromycota
Description: partial small subunit ribosomal RNA
Rfam family: Eukaryotic small subunit ribosomal RNA (bases 40-216)
Source: RNAcentral
GGGUCAGUAGGUUGGUCGUGCCACCGGUACGUACUGGUCUCACUGAUUCCUCCUUCCUGAAGAGCCGUAAUGCCAUUAAUUUGGUGUUGCGGGGAAACAGGACUGUUACUUUGAAAAAAUUAGAGUGUUUAAAGCAAGCUAGCGCUUGAAUACAUUAGCAUGGAAUAAUGAAAUAGGACGAUCGAUCCUAUUUUGUUGGUUUCUAGGAUUGACGUA